RNAcentral lists this unclassified non-coding RNA (1373 nucleotides) under uncultured Neocallimastigales. RNAcentral describes it as "partial contains small subunit ribosomal RNA, internal transcribed spacer 1, 5.8S ribosomal RNA, internal transcribed spacer 2, and large subunit ribosomal RNA". The stretch from base 603 to 1373 matches the Rfam family "Eukaryotic large subunit ribosomal RNA", at positions 1 to 628 of the family's 3401-position model. Lineage: Eukaryota; Fungi; Neocallimastigomycota; Neocallimastigomycetes; Neocallimastigales. The record is from RNAcentral.
UUUCCGUAGGUGAACCUGCGGAAGGAUCAUUAAAAAAUAUCACAUUUUGUAUGUGAUUUAAUAAUCAUCCUACCCUUUGUGAAUUUGUUUUUGUUUGAAAUUUAUGUUGUCUAUCCCUGGAUAUGAAAGAAAAGUCAUUAAGAUUUUUUUUUCAUUCUAGGGAAUAGGCUUUCAUAGACAUUUUUUUAAAUUAAACAUUUGUAUUCAUUUGUCUAAAUUUAUUUUUAAAUAAUUUAAAAACAACUUUUGACAAUGGAUCUCUUGGUUCUCGCAACGAUGAAGAACGCAGCAAAAUGCGAUAAGUAAUGUGAAUUGCAGAAUACGUGAAUCAUCAAAUUUUCGAACGCAUGUUGCACUUUUUUAGUUUACUAAAAAAGUAUGUCUGUUGAGUAUCAGUAAAUAUUCUCAUAAAAACUAUUGUUUUAUGGUUAUGAGUGUCUUACAACGAUAACAAGUUGUUUCACUUUAAAUUGAUUUUUUAAAAGCCAAUUUGGUUUUAUUUUAAAAUUGGAUAAAUUUCCCGUAAAAAGGAAUAAACUUUUCAGUUUUAAAUAAAACCUAAAUUGACCUUGAAAAAAGGAAAUUUAAUUAUAAAACUAACUUGAUCUCAAAUCAGAUAAGAGUACCCGCUGAACUUAAGCAUAUCAAUAAGCGGAGGAAAAGAAACUAACAAGGAUUCCCUUAGUAACGGCGAGUGAAGCGGGAAGAGCUCAAAUUUGAAAUCUUCAAGGUUUUACCUUGACGAAUUGUAGUUUAAAGAAGUGUUUCUGUGUGGAGUGGCAAAAGUUCUUUGGAAUAGGACAUCAUAGAGGGUGAGAAUCCCGUAUUUGGAUCAUAUCCUCCUAGCUUUGUGAUACACUUUCAAAGAGUCGGAUUGUUUGGGAAUGCAGUCAAAAAUGGGUGGUAAAUUUCAUCUAAAGCUAAAUAUUGGCGAGAGACCGAUAGCGAACAAGUACCGUGAGGGAAAGAUGAAAAGAACUUUGAAAAGAGAGUUAACAGUACGUGAAAUUGUCAAAAGGAAGCGUUUGACACCAGUGUUGUUUUCCGAAAAUCAAUUAUAAAUGUUUUGUUUCUGAGGAGUGAUGACUUCAUCGGCUUCCUUCUCUCUUCACGAAACUUUGUAAUGCACUUUUCGGUUAACAAGUCAACAUCAAUUUCUUUUGUUGUAAAGAGUAUUCGGAAGGUGGCUUUCUUUUCGGAGAAAGUGUUUAUAGCCCUAUACUUCUACAAUCGGAGAGAUUGAGGUCUGCAGCGUAGAUCCUUCGGGGUUAGAUACAUUUGUGCUAAGUUAUAGCUUUUCAUAGACAACUUGUUGACUAUGUUUAGUCUGUAGCUUACUCGCUUAUGCUAUUUUACCUACGCUUAGGAUGUUG